UGCUAAUAACAUUAUUAUUAUUGUAGUGUAGUACGCUGCUCACACAAAAACAUCCCAACUGCAAAAGAUUGCCGAAACCUUUCUAAAAGAACAACUGGUUUCAUUUCAUGAAGUCCGGAAAUUGGGAGAAGACUCGAUCAUGUACAUUCUUCAAGACCUCAAAUACUGUGAUGCAACUGUUUGCCCGCUAGCGCAAUGGAUACUUUAAUAAUUUAUGUUGAGAUGCUACGUUAAGUAACCAACCAGUUACCGUGUAUUGUACACCAUGUGGCGUGCAUGACAAGUUCUUUAACAACCUGAAUACAGCUGCAGCCUACAAAGCAAUUCGAAAAUCGAUAGAAGUAUCGUUUUCUCCGGCCACAUACUCGUACUGAUUUCAUUGCAGCAAUUUUUGCGUCGCUAUAGCCAGUAGUCUUACGGUUAAUUAUUUACAGGGCUGUGCAUUCUUCAGCACUAAUCUCACUAGCUAACCAGAAAAUGGGACAUUCUCGUUUGUUAUUGUCUUUUCUGUUGGUGUUAACGAUGACCCUGGCACUUUUUAAUCAUGUGGCAGCCGGAAAUUCAAAACAGAGCGAAACCGCUCCUGUGGUUUCUCCGAAGAACGCCACUGGCACCGCGAUCCCCGUUGCCGGAAAGGACAACUCGACGGGCACAAUCAAUCAAACCAAAGCGAAACCUCAAGUCAGGAACAUACCUAGGCCAACAGGCUGAGCCCCCCAAGUGUGGCGCAAGAGCGUCGGUGUAAUCGUUUCGCAUACUUAGGUUCAUGCUGGAUGGUUCUGUGCCCACAACAUUUUCGGUCCAGAUUUAAUAUCAAAAUGCAGCUGUACGUUAUAACUUGUAAGUACUUUGAACUGUAUUCAGUGUGUUGCAGCCUGCAGACCAUAGAAAACCUCAUGCUAGAACUGUCAAUACAUGUGAUGCAGACCAGAAAAAAAUGAAACGUGUUG
Molecule: long non-coding RNA, 950 nt
Organism: Paramacrobiotus metropolitanus
Lineage: Eukaryota; Metazoa; Tardigrada; Eutardigrada; Parachela; Macrobiotidae
Exons: 3
Source: RefSeq, a predicted model, not a curated record